This is a small nuclear RNA of Neogale vison (American mink), 109 nucleotides long. NCBI's taxonomy places the organism in Eukaryota, Metazoa, Chordata, Mammalia, Carnivora, Mustelidae. The record is from Ensembl.
GUGCUCACUUCAGUAGCACAUGCACUAAAAUUGGAAUGAUAUAGCAAAGACCAUAGCAUGGCACCUGUGGGAGGAUGAUUUGCAAAUUUGUGAAGUGUUCCAUAUUUUU